UUUAAAGUUCUAAUCACACACACAAAAAUCUUUGUAACGAUGUAUGGACUUACUGUGAUCAAUUUGUAAUGUACACAAAUAUGGAAUUAUUAUGUUCUGCAUCUAAAACUAAUAUAAUGUUAUAUGUCAGUUAUACCUCAAUUUAAAAAAAGAUUCUAAAUACAGAUGAACAAAGGGGAGAGAUACACCAUAUUUUAAGAUUAUAUUGACCUAUUUUCCUUUAUUUAUAGUCAAUGUAAUGUUAUGCAAAAUCCCAGGAGGAUUUUGAGUGGACCUUCACAAACUGAUUCUGCAUUUAGGCAGAAAACUGAAAACCCACAAAUAGCUAAGACAAUUUCAUUAAAAAACGAUAAUGGAGGGAAGGAAUUUCAUCCUAUCAGAUACUAACCAUGUUUGCAAGCUACAGUAAUUUUUUAGUAUAGUACUAAUAACAAACUAAAAAGGUCAGUGAACAGAGAAAGAAGAACCCGGACAAAGGCCCUCUAUCACAAGUUACUAUGUAAAUGUGAUAUAUGUUAGAAGGUUAUCAAUCAGCAGGAAAAGAUAGAUGGUUCAGUAAGUAGCACUGAAUAAGUAGACUCAAUAUAUGGAGAAAAAUGAGUCCCUUUUCCCCCCUUAUGUAAAUUCCGAAUGGAUUAUAGAUCUGAAAAUAAGAAAUAGAUUUGUAAAAUUAAUUGAAGAAAAUUUAUGAAAAUAUUUUUGUGGCCUCAGAGUGGAGAAUUUCUCAAGUUAGAAUCCAGAUGGUGGUGAUGGACAAACAUGAACAAAGAUGAAGCCAGGGUGUCCAGCUGGCUCAGUCAGUAGUGCAUGCAACUCUUGAUCGUGGGAUUGUAAAUUCAAGUCCCAUCUUGGGUGUAGAGAUUACUU
This is a long non-coding RNA of Herpailurus yagouaroundi (jaguarundi), 867 nucleotides long. RefSeq lists it as uncharacterized. The transcript is spliced from 2 exons. Lineage: Eukaryota; Metazoa; Chordata; Mammalia; Carnivora; Felidae. The record is from RefSeq and is a predicted model, not a curated record.